RNAcentral lists this ribosomal RNA (488 nucleotides) under uncultured bacterium. RNAcentral describes it as "bacterial SSU rRNA". It matches the Rfam family "Bacterial small subunit ribosomal RNA", at positions 28 to 518 of the family's 1533-position model. The record is from RNAcentral.
GAUGAACGCUGGCGGCGUGCUUAACACAUGCAAGUCGAACGAAGCACUUAAUGAGAUUUCUUCGGAUUGAUUAUUUUGUGACUGAGUGGCGGACGGGUGAGUAACGCGUGGGUAACCUGCCCCCAGACCGGGGGAUAACAGUCGGAAACGACUGCUAAUACCGCAUAAGCGCACAGUGCCGCAUGGCACGGUGUGAAAAACUCCGGUGGUCUGGGAUGGACCCGCGUCCGAUUAGUUAGUUGGUGGGGUAACGGCCCACCAAGACUGCGAUCGGUAGCCGACCUGAGAGGGUGACCGGCCACAUUGGGACUGAGACACGGCCCAGACUCCUACGGGAGGCAGCAGUGGGGAAUAUUGCACAAUGGAGGAAACUCUGAUGCAGCGACGCCGCGUGAGCGAGAAGAUUUCGGUAUGUAAAGCUCUGUCAGCAGGAAGAUAAUGACGGUACCUGACCAAGAAGCCCCGGCUAACUACGUGCCAGCAGCCGC